RNAcentral lists this small nucleolar RNA (138 nucleotides) under Ornithorhynchus anatinus (platypus). The record is from RNAcentral. Lineage: Eukaryota; Metazoa; Chordata; Mammalia; Monotremata; Ornithorhynchidae.
GCCCUCUCAGGGUCGCACCUGGAGAGUUUCCAGUACUCUACCAAUCACGACUACAGGAGGGAGAGUCAAGCAGAGGCUUACCCAUUCCAUUCCUAGCUUGGCCAGUGGCUAGUGAGUAGAAGGCAAUCUGCUACAAGU